AGGGCAAGUCUGGUGCCAGCAGCCGCGGUAAUUCCAGCUCCAAUAGCGUAUAUUAAAGUUGUUGCAGUUAAAAAGCUCGUAGUUGAAUUUCGGGGUUAGUAGGUUGGUCAUGCCACUGGUAUGUACUGAUCUUACUGAUUCCUCCUUCCUGAUGAACCGUAAUGCCAUUAAUUUGGUGUUGCGGGGAGACUGGACUGUUACUUUGAAAAAAUUAGAGUGUUUAAAGCAGGCUAACGCUUGAAUACAUUAGCAUGGAAUAAUGAAAUAGGACGUUCGAUCCUAUUUUGUUGGUUUCUAGGAUUGACGUAAUGAUUAAUAGGGAUAGUUGGGGGCAUUAGUAUUCAAUUGUCAGAGGUGAAAUUCUUGGAUUUAUUGAAGACUAACUACUGCGAAAGCAUUUGCCAAGGAUGUUUUCAUUAAUCAAGAACGAAAGUUAGGGGAUCGAAGACGAUCAGAUACCGUCGUAGUCUUAACCAUAAACUAUGCCGACUAGGGAUCGGAUGAUGUUAAUUUUUUAAUGACUCAUUCGGCGCCUUACGGGAA
RNAcentral lists this ribosomal RNA (543 nucleotides) under uncultured Glomeromycotina. RNAcentral describes it as "SSU rRNA". It matches the Rfam family "Eukaryotic small subunit ribosomal RNA", at positions 552 to 1096 of the family's 1831-position model. The record is from RNAcentral. Lineage: Eukaryota; Fungi; Glomeromycota.